AUCACUCAGGCCAGCCUAGAUUCAACGUGUGGUAACACCUCAUGUGGGAGGAAUCACUGGGUCCGUCUUGGAGGCUGGUAUAAUUAUUGUGGAUUUCUCUGCAUGAGCCACCAAACAUUCCAUUGCUCCCAAGAACCCAGAAUGUCCUGGAGAGUGCACAUGCCGACAAGAGGAUUCAUGUCAUGCUGUUGUCCAAGUGAGACCUUGACCUUGGGGAUGCAGUAAGAAAUCAUUUGACUGAAGUUUGACUCUCAAAAGUGUCCCAAAUUUUGGCUGCAGCUCAGAAGCAAGUUUGUCCAAGAGAGCAGGAGGAGAAUUCAUCACCAGUGUUGAUCCCCAUUGAUCUAUGUCAAGCCUCAGGUACCAGCUAAAUUUAAGAGCAGACAGAAGAAUCUAAGGAUAAGGGACCACAAGAGCACUGGCCUUACAAGCUGCCUAACCGCUCUGAAACUGCUACGUGUACGGAAGCCCAAACCAGCCCAAGGGACAAGAUCCUAUGCAGAAGCACUGCAACUGCACCUUGAGAAAUGUCCAGCCAAAUGUCAAGCUGCUCCAGUCCUGUUUCCAUCACUGUUUCAGCUCCAACCACUCUCUGGUUGCAAUUGCAUGAGACAUCCCCAGCCAGUAGCACCCAGCUGAGUCCUUCUUGAAUUUCUAACUCACAAAAGUUAUGAGAGAUGAUAAAAUGAUUGUUGCUUAAGUCACUAAGUUGUGGGGUGAUUCAUCACAAAACAAAGAAUAACUUGUAACAUCAUCCUUUAUUAUUUCCUACCUCCACUCCCCGGUUCCGCUUCCAAUCUGAAUUCUUCAAGUGCAGUCUACAAAUUCAGUCCUUUUCAGUCGGUAUGAACAUUAUACUAUAAACUGAAGCAUCUGCAAAAGCUAAUCACAAGGUCUUAGUAUCAUUUUCUGCUCUCUUCAUCAAGAAAUAAAUAACCCUAGU
Canis lupus familiaris (dog) is the source of this 943-nucleotide long non-coding RNA. RefSeq lists it as uncharacterized. Lineage: Eukaryota; Metazoa; Chordata; Mammalia; Carnivora; Canidae. The record is from RefSeq and is a predicted model, not a curated record. The transcript has 3 exons.